UGGGGAAUAUUGCACAAUGGGCGAAAGCCUGAUGCAGCAACGCCGCGUGAGUGAUGAAGGUCUUCGGAUUGUAAAGCUCUGUCUUUUGGGACGAUAAUGACGGUACCAAAGGAGGAAGCCACGGCUAACUACGUGCCAGCAGCCGCGGUAAUACGUAGGUGGCGAGCGUUGUCCGGAUUUACUGGGCGUAAAGGGUGCGUAGGCGGAUGUUUAAGGGAGAUGUGAAAUACCCGGGCUUAACUUGGGUGCUGCAUUUCAAACUGGAUAUCUAGAGUGCAGGAGAGGAGAAUGGAAUUCCUAGUGUAGCGGUGAAAUGCGUAGAGAUUAGGAAGAACACCAGUGGCGAAGGCGAUUCUCUGGACUGUAACUGACGCUGAGGCACGAAAGCGUGGGUAGCAAACAGGAUUAGAUACCCUGGUAGUCCACGCCGUAAAACGAUGAGUACUAGGUGUAGGAGGUAUCGACCCCUUCUGUGCCGCAGUAAACACA
This 489-nucleotide ribosomal RNA is filed under the name uncultured bacterium. RNAcentral's name for it is "partial 16S ribosomal RNA". It matches the Rfam family "Bacterial small subunit ribosomal RNA", at positions 355 to 859 of the family's 1533-position model. The record is from RNAcentral.